GGAAGUCAACCGGUGGGUCUCAGGUGCUGUGAUAGGGUUCUGGUUGUCGGUCCUGAGGGUAACAAAGUCUUUUGGCAGGAUAUCUGGAGAGCGUGAUGCCAGGAAGUAGGAGCGUCCAUGAAGAGCCAGCAAGGAAAGAUGGCUGGAGAGAGAGACGUCGGAGAAUGUGAAGACAGUGAAGGACUGAAUGAGAGACAUGCAGCCUUUUUCUUUACAAGAUGUUAACUGAUGGAGUUAUGUCGACUACUUGUGGAUAGUGAUGUUUUUAUCCAUCCACUGCAGAGGAGCCAUUGGCGGGCAAGUGAAGCAACGUUACAUUUCUCCACAUCUGUUUUGAUGAGGAAACAAUCGCAUCUACGUUUUUGGCCAAACCAUUCCUAUAUACCGCAUGUUAAUCGAACUACUGCAUUGACAUUUCAAUUCAGUGGUUUGACUUUUAUAAAUGCUGAAGGCUGCCAAAUGAAGCUAACAUUUGUGAGAAGUCUAUAAUGAUCUCUGUGUAUUGUGUGUGAAACAUGCCGAUAGUGUACUUGACAGAUGGGAAGCCACAGACGUUGCAUCAUCCAUUUUGGGCUGUUUCUGCUAGAUUCUUUAAAACUGAUUGUAUCUCUAAACUGUGUAAUCUGUGUGAAAGUUGACAUUAUUACCCAAAUUUUACUUGUUCUGAAGUGUCAGAUCAGGAAGACUGUUUUAUUUUAUUUGAUUCCAUUAUUAUCUUUAUUCAUUUAUUUUUAAUUAGUACUUUUAGUUUUAAGUGAUCAAGUGACAGUAAAGACAUGUAUUUGUAAUUUGUUAUUUGGAACAUUCUGUCAUAGAAUCUGGGAAAAAAGAGGGUUACAAAGUGUUCGAGACUGAUAAUACACUAAAUAAAAAUGUUAAUUGAGUAGCAA
Puntigrus tetrazona (Sumatra barb) is the source of this 890-nucleotide long non-coding RNA. RefSeq lists it as uncharacterized. Lineage: Eukaryota; Metazoa; Chordata; Actinopteri; Cypriniformes; Cyprinidae. The record is from RefSeq and is a predicted model, not a curated record. The transcript is spliced from 2 exons.